AGUGAACGCUGGCGGUAGGCCUAACACAUGCAAGUCGAACGGCAGCACAGUAAGAGCUUGCUCUUACGGGUGGCGAGUGGCGGACGGGUGAGGAAUACAUCGGAAUCUACUUUUUCGUGGAGGAUAACGUAGGGAAACUUACGCUAAUACCGCAUACGACCUACGGGUGAAAGCAGGGGAUCUUCGGACCUUGCGCGAUUGAAUGAGCCGAUGUCGGAUUAGCUAGUUGGCGGGGUAAAGGCCCACCAAGGCGACGAUCCGUAGCUGGUCUGAGAGGAUGAUCAGCCACACUGGAACUGAGACACGGUCCAGACUCCUACGGGAGGCGGCAGUGGGGAAUAUUGGACAAUGGGCGCAAGCCUGAUCCAGCCAUACCGCGUGGGUGAAGAAGGCCUUCGGGUUGUAAAGCCCUUUUGUUGGGAAAGAAAAGCAGCAGGUUAAUACCCCGCUGUUCUGACGGUACCCAAAGAAUAAGCACCGGCUAACUUCGUG
RNAcentral lists this ribosomal RNA (492 nucleotides) under uncultured bacterium. Its description in RNAcentral is "partial 16S ribosomal RNA". It matches the Rfam family "Bacterial small subunit ribosomal RNA", at positions 29 to 507 of the family's 1533-position model. The record is from RNAcentral.